This 255-nucleotide ribosomal RNA is filed under the name Escherichia coli. RNAcentral describes it as "partial 23S ribosomal RNA". It matches the Rfam family "Bacterial large subunit ribosomal RNA", at positions 230 to 523 of the family's 2925-position model. Lineage: Bacteria; Pseudomonadati; Pseudomonadota; Gammaproteobacteria; Enterobacterales; Enterobacteriaceae. The record is from RNAcentral.
CGAGAUUCCCCCAGUAGCGGCGAGCGAACGGGGAGCAGCCCAGAGCCUGAAUCAGUGUGUGUGUUAGUGGAAGCGUCUGGAAAGGCGCGCGAUACAGGGUGACAGCCCCGUACACAAAAAUGCACAUACUGUGAGCUCGAUGAGUAGGGCGGGACACGUGGUAUCCUGUCUGAAUAUGGGGGGACCAUCCUCCAAGGCUAAAUACUCCUGACUGACCGAUAGUGAACCAGUACCGUGAGGGAAAGGCGAAAAGAA